AUGAGGGCGUCGCUGAAAGUGGUGCUGCUCCAUGGCAGCCUCGACAUUUGGGUGCACGAGGCCAAGAACCUCCCCAACAAGGACAUGUUCUCCAAGAGGGUCAGCGAGCUCCUCUCCGUAGGCGGCAAGUCCAACUCUAAAAUGACAAGCGACCCCUACGUCACCAUCCAGGUCUCCUAUGCCACCGUCGCUCGCACCUACGUCGUUUCCAAUAGCGAGAACCCUGUUUGGGCGCAGAACUUCCAUGUGCCUGUUGGCCAUGAGGCUGCUGAGGUUGAGUUCGUCGUCAAGGACAGCGAUGUCUUCGGAGCUCAGCUCAUGGGAACUGUGGCCAUCCCUGCCGAGAAUCUCCUUUCUGGGGACAGGAUUGAGGGCAUCUACCCUGUGCUAGAGCCCAAUGGCAAGCCGUGCGCUCCUGGUGCUGUAUUACAGCUCUCUAUUCAGUACAUCCCAGUGGCUCGCCUUACAAUGUACCACCAUGGUGUCAUUGCUGGUCCGGACUGCCUUGGAGUGCCCAAUACUUACUUCCCGCUACGCCGUGGCAUGAGGGUGACCCUCUAUCAGGAUGCACAUGUGCCCGAUGGUUCUCUCCCAGAUAUCUGGCUUGAUCAUGGAUUGCGCUACCAACAUGGGCAAUGCUGGCGUGACAUGUACAAUGCCAUAAGCCAGGCACGGCGGUUGAUUUACAUUGUGGGUUGGUCAGUGUUCCACACGAUCGACCUCAUACGGGAUGGAGCUGAGAAGGCACCAUCACUUGGGGACCUGUUGAAGAUGAAGUCGCAGGAAGGCGUUAGGGUAUUGCUUCUUGUAUGGGAUGAUCCAACAUCAAGGAGUAUUCUCGGCUUUAAGAUGGAUGGUUUCAUGGGCACACGAGAUGAGGAAACACGUCGGUUUUUCAAGCACUCUUCAGUUCAAGUAUUGCUUUGCCCAAGAUCUGCUGGGAAGCGUCACAGCUGGGUGAAACAGCAGGAAACAGGAACCAUUUUUACUCAUCAUCAGAAAACAGUUAUUGUGGAUGCUGAUGCCGGCAAUUAUAGGAGAAAAAUAAUUGCUUUUGUCGGAGGUCUUGAUUUGUGCGGUGGGCGCUAUGAUACACCUGGGCAUCCUCUGUUUCAGACUCUUCAAACUUCACACAAGGAGGAUUAUUACAAUCCAAACUUUGCUACAGUUGAUGCCCGUGGCCCAAGGGAACCAUGGCAUGACUUGCAUUCCAGGAUCGAUGGUCCAGCAGCUUAUGAUGUUCUGAAGAACUUUGAGGAGCGUUGGUUGAAGGCAUCCAAACGCCAUGGGAUUAAAAAGUUGGGGAAAUCAAACGAUGAUGCACUUCUCAAGAUUGAAAGAAUACAUGAUAUUGUAAACAUUGAUGAUGCAAUUUAUUUUAGCGACAAUGACCCAGAGACAUGGCAUGUUCAGGUGUUUCGCUCUAUUGACUCAAACUCUGCCAAGGGAUUUCCAAAGGACCCACGAGUAGCAACCAUGAAGAAUCUUGUCUGUGGGAAGAAUGUACUAAUUGAUAUGAGCAUACAUACAGCUUAUGUGAAUGCCAUCAGGGCAGCCCAACACUUUAUUUACAUUGAGAACCAAUACUUCAUCGGUUCUUCAUUUAAUUGGGAUUCAAACAAAGAUAUUGGGGCUAACAAUUUGGUACCAAUUGAAAUUGCUCUCAAAAUUGCAAACAAGAUUAAGGCAAAAGAGAGGUUUUCUGCAUACAUAGUAGUUCCUAUGUGGCCCGAGGGUAAUCCAACUGGUGCUCCUACACAAAGAAUUCUUUACUGGCAGAACAAAACAAUGCAAAUGAUGUAUGAGACAAUAUAUAGGGCCUUGAAAGAAGUAGGUCUGGAUGAUAAAUAUGAGCCUCAGGAUUAUUUGAACUUCUUUUGUCUUGGCAAUCGUGAAAUUGGGGACAGCCCUAGUACUCCAAGUACUGCAAAUAAUCCUCAGGAUCAAGCUAGGAAAAAUAGGAGAUUCAUGGUUUAUGUACAUUCAAAAGGUAUGAUUGUAGAUGAUGAAUAUGUGAUCAUUGGAUCAGCUAAUAUCAACCAGAGGUCGAUGGAAGGGAUCAGAGAUACUGAGAUUGCAAUGGGAGCAUAUCAACCACAGUAUACAUGGGCAAAUAAAAUUUCUGCUCCCCGUGGACAGAUUUAUGGCUACAGAAUGUCCCUCUGGGCUGAGCAUAUUGGAAUUAUCGAGGAAGACUUUAACCAUCCAGAGAGCCUAGAGUGCAUGAGGCGGGUUCGUCAACUCGGGCAACAUAACUGGGAUCAGUUCUUUGCCAAUGAGGUGACUGAGAUGAGAGGCCACCUCCUCAAGUACCCUGUAAGUGUUGACCGUAAAGGCAAGGUGAAACCCUUGCCAGGAUGUGCGACAUUCCCAGACAUGGGCGGAAACAUUUGUGGCUCCUUCACGGCCAUCCAGGAAAACCUCACAAUAUGA
This 2433-nucleotide ribosomal RNA is filed under the name Triticum aestivum (bread wheat). RNAcentral describes it as "partial small subunit ribosomal RNA". The record is from RNAcentral. Lineage: Eukaryota; Viridiplantae; Streptophyta; Magnoliopsida; Poales; Poaceae.